UGAGCAAAACCAAGCGGCGGACGGGUGAGUAACGCGUGGGUAACCUGCCCUAUACACAUGGAUAACAUACUGAAAAGUUUACUAAUACAUGAUAAUAUAUAUUUGCGGCAUCGCAGAUAUAUCAAAGUGUUAGCGGUAUAGGAUGGACCCGCGUCUGAUUAGCUAGUUGGUGAGAUAACUGCCCACCAAGGCGACGAUCAGUAGCCGACCUGAGAGGGUGAUCGGCCACAUUGGAACUGAGACACGGUCCAAACUCCUACGGGAGGCAGCAGUGGGGAAUAUUGCACAAUGGGCGAAAGCCUGAUGCAGCAACGCCGCGUGAACGAUGAAGGUCUUCGGAUCGUAAAGUUCUGUUGCAGGGGAAGAUAAUGACGGUACCCUGUGAGGAAGCCCCGGCUAACUACGUGCCAGCAGCCGCGGUAAUACGUAGGGGGCUAGCGUUAUCCGGAUUUACUGGGCGUAAAGGGUGCGUAGGUGGUCCUUCAAGUCGGUGGUUAAAGGCUACGGCUCAACCGUAGUAAGCCGCCGAAACUGGAGGACUUGAGUGCAGGAGAGGAAAGUGGAAUUCCCAGUGUAGCGGUGAAAUGCGUAGAUAUUGGGAGGAACACCAGUAGCGAAGGCGGCUUUCUGGACUGCAACUGACACUGAGGCACGAAAGCGUGGGUAGCAAACAGGAUUAGAUACCCUGGUAGUCCACGCUGUAAACGAUGAGUACUAGGUGUCGGGGGU
Molecule: ribosomal RNA, 729 nt
Filed under: uncultured Peptostreptococcus sp.
Lineage: Bacteria; Bacillati; Bacillota; Clostridia; Peptostreptococcales; Peptostreptococcaceae
Description: bacterial SSU rRNA
Rfam family: Bacterial small subunit ribosomal RNA
Source: RNAcentral